Molecule: ribosomal RNA, 467 nt
Filed under: uncultured bacterium
Lineage: Bacteria
Description: partial 16S ribosomal RNA
Rfam family: Bacterial small subunit ribosomal RNA
Source: RNAcentral
GACGAACGCUGGCGGCGUGCUUAACACAUGCAAGUCGAACGGAAGGCCCUGCUUUUGUGGGGUGCUCGAGUGGCGAACGGGUGAGUAACACGUGAGUAACCUGCCCUUGACUUUGGGAUAACUUCAGGAAACUGGGGCUAAUACCGGAUAGGAGCUCCUGCUGCAUGGUGGGGGUUGGAAAGUUUCGGCGGUUGGGGAUGGACUCGCGGCUUAUCAGCUUGUUGGUGGGGUAGUGGCUUACCAAGGCUUUGACGGGUAGCCGGCCUGAGAGGGUGACCGGCCACAUUGGGACUGAGAUACGGCCCAGACUCCUACGGGAGGCAGCAGUGGGGAAUAGUGCACAAUGGGCGGAAGCCUGAUGCAGCAACGCCGCGUGCGGGAUGACGGCCUUCGGGUUGUAAACCGCUUUCGCCUGUGACGAAGCGUGAGUGACGGUAAUGGGUAAAGAAGCACCGGCUAACUACGUG